This is a non-coding RNA of Vibrio parahaemolyticus RIMD 2210633, 70 nucleotides long. It matches the Rfam family "RNA-OUT". Rfam says of the family: Transposition of insertion sequence IS10 is regulated by an anti-sense RNA which inhibits transposase expression when IS10 is present in multiple copies per cell. The anti-sense RNA (RNA-OUT) consists of a stem domain topped by a flexibly paired loop; the 5' end of the target molecule, RNA-IN, is complementary to the top of the loop, and complementarity extends for 35 base-pairs down one side of RNA-OUT. Lineage: Bacteria; Pseudomonadati; Pseudomonadota; Gammaproteobacteria; Vibrionales; Vibrionaceae. The record is from Rfam.
UCGCACAUCUUGUUGUUUGGUUGUUGUUUUUUGGCGAAAUCAUUUGAUCACAUGACAAGAUGUGCAUCUA